UUACUGAGGACUUGCUGAUAUUUCUUACCAGAUGUUACAAUUUGCCUUUUGCUUUUUUCUAGGUAGGUUAUUUCAUCAAUAGUGAAAAAUUAUAGUUUUAUGUCUUCCUCUUUCUAUCAUUUUCUUUCUUUAAAACAAUGCAUGUAAAACUUCCUAUAUCAAGUGUAAUUUCUGCUGUAGGUUUUUAAUAUGUAAUUUUUCCAGGUAAAGAAAUUUUCCUAAGAGUUAUUUUUAACCAGAAUUAUAUACUGAACUUCAUUGAAUGCUGUAGUGGGUUUCAUGGUGGCUCCCCCCAAAAUAUGUCCAUAUCUUUAAUACCUGAAUCCUCUAUAUAUUACUUUAUUUUGAAAAAUAGUCUUUUCAGAUGUAAUUACAUUAAUGAUCUGAAGAUAAGAACAUCCUGGGUUACUGAGGUGAACCCUAAAUACAAAAGCAAGUGUCCUUGUAAGAGACAGAAGAAAACACAGAGAAGAGGACAGAUCUAUGUGAAGCUGGAGGAAGUGGUCAAAGUGAUACAGCCGUAAGGAAUGCUGACAGACGCCAGAAGCUGGAAGAGGCAGAGAAUUCAUACUGUUGAUAAAUUAUUGUGAAUAAAUGGAGUAAAGCAAAGCCUUUAUGUGUGAACAAGUUACUCAAGAUCAGAGAACUCAUACAGGUUACUACAAGAUAUUGAAUAUAAUUCCCUGCA
Vicugna pacos (alpaca) is the source of this 688-nucleotide non-coding RNA. Lineage: Eukaryota; Metazoa; Chordata; Mammalia; Artiodactyla; Camelidae. The record is from RefSeq and is a predicted model, not a curated record.